GCUGGAUGGCUCAGUGGGUUGAGCAUCUGACUUCAGCUCAGGUCAUGAUCUCACAGCUUGUGAGUUCAAGCCCCACGUCUAGCU
RNAcentral lists this transfer RNA (84 nucleotides) under Felis catus (domestic cat). It matches the Rfam family "tRNA". Rfam says of the family: Transfer RNA (tRNA) molecules are approximately 80 nucleotides in length. Their secondary structure includes four short double-helical elements and three loops (D, anti-codon, and T loops). The record is from Rfam by way of RNAcentral. Lineage: Eukaryota; Metazoa; Chordata; Mammalia; Carnivora; Felidae.